GACGAACGCUGGCGGCGGGCUUAACACAUGCAAGUCGAACGGAAAGGCCCUGCUUUUUUGUGGUGCUCGAGUGGCGAACGGGUGAGUAACACGUGAGUAGCCUGCCCUUGACUGUGGGAUAACUUCAGGAAACUGGGGCUAAUACCGGAUAGUAGCUCCUGCUGCAUGGUGGGGGUGGGAAAGUUUCGGCUGGUGUGGCUGGACUCGCGGCUUAUCAGCGUGUUGGUGGGGUAGUGGCUUACCAAGGCGUGGAGGGGUAGCCCGCCUGAGAGGGUGAACGGCCACAUUGGGACUGAGAUACGGACCAGAGUGCUACGGGACGCAGUAGUGGGGAAUAUUGCACAAUGGGCGGAAGCCUGAUGAAGCAACGCUGCGUGCGGGAUGACGGCUUUCGGGUUGUAAACCGCUUUAGCCUGUGACGAAGCGUGAGUGACGGUAAUGGGUAAAGAAGCACCGGCUAACUACGUG
This 468-nucleotide ribosomal RNA is filed under the name uncultured bacterium. Its description in RNAcentral is "partial 16S ribosomal RNA". It matches the Rfam family "Bacterial small subunit ribosomal RNA", at positions 28 to 507 of the family's 1533-position model. The record is from RNAcentral.